AUGAAAACAAAGCUAAUUGUGUGUAAUGAAGCAAAUAUAUGUAUACAACCUGUUUAUAUAGAAAAACUUGUGUUGUAUUUACAGAAUACUGUAUCAUGUUAUGUGUUUUCUUUCCACGUCUCAGCAAGCAUCUAUGUGGUGAGGAAGAUCAGGGCUUCCAUUGCUGGGGGAGAGCAACUAGAGAAGCCCAUAACCACACCAUGUAGUGCUAUUGCUGAAACGGGAGCGGGACUUGAGUCGAGAGAAAAAUCCCCAUCGGCUGCUCUGAUGUCAGGACCUGAAGACAACGUCAGUGGACCAGCAGGCCCGAGGGCAUCCUCAGAGAGGGCUGUGCAGCAAUGUGGCUCUUGAUGUUAAAGAUCUAGCUAGACACUUGAAUUGGGGUCAACUCACUGGAAAAUUACAAUUUGUCAUCUUUGUGCUUUUUCAAUGCGAGGCAAUGGUGCUUAUGUUAUGUCCAAUAUCUUGUAAAUACAUAACGUAUUCGCUCAAGUACAAUGUUCAGCAUUCACCUUUGUCCAAACAAAAGUGAGCAUGGGCGUACUUUUGCAUUGCUGUCAUUCUAGUGAUGAUCUCAGUCAUGUGUGUAUGCUACUCUCCUGAUGAUGCACAUUCAGGCCUUUUUCACAGCAGACAUUUGGACCUACCAUAGCAGGAAAACACACUAUCGACAUUAAUGAUGACUUUUCUCCAGUAAGUUUUGCUGGGGAGCUAACAUGACAUUGUUAAAGGGUCCUGCAAUGGCACCUUAAUGUCUGAAUGCAGACAUUUUUGUCAAAUUUAUUUGGUUAGACAACAUGUUUUCUGUGAGAAAGGCCUGUAUUCAUUUACUGCAGUGUUUGAAGGCCGACUCACCAACCUCUCUCCAGGGGCUGAGCUGGCCUGAUGUUUAUGCUGUUGUAUCAAUAAAGGAAAAAUAAAACAACAAAAACAAGGUGGCAUCUGGGUUGAUGUGUAUAUACACUUGCAAAAUAUAAUAUUCAUAAGGAUAACCAUGGAAGCUUAUAAAUCAAACCUUUAAGGUGUACAGCAGCAAUAUGGUGGCAAGCUUCAGGAUGAACAUCCCUUUCACUGGUGGAACCACUACCAUGGUAACUUUCCUCCCAAAUAUAACUUGGUCCCAUGCUUCUUUGGUUCAACUUUUUCUUGUAAACAAAUUCUCCUUUUUACCCCUGAUGUUGGAUAACUUGGUAUUUGCAACACUCCCUUAAAUAAAAAAAAUAUACAGCAAUUUAUAAUCAAAUGAAAAUGUACACUAUUUAAACUAGGACAGAGAAGUUACUGGUAGUCGCUUGGAACUAAUAUUUAUACGGAGCGUGUUGCUUGACGAACACCACUGGCGUUGCACGUUGUCAGCGCUUGCUACUAGAGGGUUUUUAAACCAACUUCCACUUGCCGAGAAUUGGUUUGGGGUGUCACUUAACAUGACAGACCCCGUGAACGGGUAAACGGAGUGGAAGUGGUUGAAGCUAAGAUGUAGGAGUGGUUUGAGAAAAGGCGAAUUAUCGCCUCUCUUUGCCCCCCCCGAAACUUCCGGCGUCCACCGGAUGUUGCCAAGGAAUAUCCGUUCGCCUAUUAACAACAAAAUCAGAGCUAGCUCAAUAUGCUACUGGGCGCUAAUGAGGACGUUCGUGGGAAAAACAGCCGUCUGCAUUUCAUGAUAUAUUCUGUCGACACCAAGUGAAGCCGGACCUGGGGUAAGCGACAGCUCUCACGCUCUACGUUCAGCUAGCAUUACCGGAAAAGGUUGCUCGUACGCGGCUAGCUUUGUCCACUUUCGUUAGCUAAUGUGGUUUCCGUUUAAAGUUUUGAGUCCGAGCACUUGGGGAAAAGCAAUUUUGAGAUUGAACACGUGGUUUGUUGUAGGGGUGGGCGCGCGCACACCAACACACACACACACACACACACACACACACACGUAAUAACAGUGUGCCUGUGAGGGAUAUGGUGUGUGUCCCAUAAACUCCAGUUUCAGUGACAAAGGGAAUCUUUAAGUGGGCGUUGCUAGUUUGGGUAACGACUGGUGAACUGCUAGCUGGGACGCUAGUUUACUGUCGACUGUUUUAUUGGUGUCAAUCAAAAAAGUGAAUUCACCUUAUCUGAUCUCACCCUGGUGGCAGAUUCGAUACUGAAAACGUUUUGCAGUUGUCACAGCAAGUGACCCUGGGCAGUUUUUAACCAUAAACGGUUGAGGCAGCCAAGAGAGGAAUAUUCCAACACACAGUUUUUAUUAAUACACUCAUAGAAAGUGCAGCAAACAAAGAAACACAAAAAAACGCAUAAAGCAAUAUGAGGUGUGACCUUUGGAUUUAAAGCAGAACCAACCCACAGCACACAAUCUUUGUGUAACAUCCUACCAACCAAAGCACCUUUGGGAAACUUGGAUGUGGACUGUGUGUUGUUCCGUCUCUUAAUGUCAUCCCAGACUGACUUGGAUGAUGACGAGCUCAAGUAGGGGCCAUGGAGUUCUGUUUGAUCGCUCCCUGUUGUCUGUAAAGAUAGUUCUAUGACUCUGGCUGCAUGUCUGAGGUCGUUAUCAUGCUGCUGAAAGAACGUGGGACUGAUCAGAUGCUUCCCUAAUUGUACUUUAUUAUGGUUACAAAUGUAAAACAGGCAAAGUGCCUAAAAAACACCUUACAUUGUUUACCUAAAACAACGAUUGUGAACAGUUAUUGUCCAGUGGAAACUCUGACAAUGUUUAUAAACGUUUGUAUGUGUUUUCUUGCAGUGUUCUUGCCAAAUCGUGGACCAUGAUGGAGCAAAGAAGAGCCUUAACUAUUCCAUUUAGUGUCGACGAGGAUAAGUUGGUAAGUGCAACCCUUGUUUUUGAAGAAUCGCUUCCAAAUUUGCCAAGAUACUGUGGUAAUUAUUGCUUUAUGGCUGCCAUCAUAAAUCACUAUGCAGAGAAAUUAGACUAAAAAUGAAUGUGACUGUGUAUUACAUAAUCUUCAAAUAAAAAAUAAUAUGAUUUACAAAUAUGAAUAGGGAAUCAUUUUUGAAAGUCACAAGUGUUUGUUCCAAUCCACAUAGUCAGGGAAAAACAACUUUUGUUGGGAAAAAUUACUUUCUGUAAAUCAAUCAAUAAAUUAGUUUCUGGUCAAGUGAAAAUGUAUGAAUUUACAGACCAUUUCAAUUCUUGCUGUACCUGCUAUUCCACAAUCCACUUGGAAUCACGGUUUUAAUACCAGUGUGGCUAUAAACAGCUGCUACUUUUUCUUGUUAAACAUAUAAACAAACAAUAUGUUUUUGUGGUUGUUCAUCUAACCAGCCUGUGAAUUUUAGAUGGAAAACCCUCUGGAAAUCCCCACAGUCUGUAUUACAUCAGAGUGUGGGAAGUUAGACAGACAGGUACAGCAACAUUAACAAAUAAUAAUGGUAAUAACGUGGCUAAUGUUUAUAUUGAAUACACAUUACUUACUCACUAUCCUGGAUUAUUAGACAUGGUAACUCUGGUUUCUUUCCCCUUUUACAGGUUUCCUGGAAAACAUUUGCAGGUUGCAAGCUCAGACAUUGUGAUUCACAACAUAAAAACAGGUCCGUGCUCUUUGAUCACAACCACG
Scophthalmus maximus (turbot) is the source of this 3560-nucleotide long non-coding RNA. The record is from Ensembl. Lineage: Eukaryota; Metazoa; Chordata; Actinopteri; Pleuronectiformes; Scophthalmidae.